This 1385-nucleotide long non-coding RNA is filed under the name Glycine max (soybean). RNAcentral describes it as "long non-coding RNA (GMAX_LNC003400)". Lineage: Eukaryota; Viridiplantae; Streptophyta; Magnoliopsida; Fabales; Fabaceae. The record is from RNAcentral.
CAGAUCAAGACAGAGUUGGAAAAAGCUUGCCCUGGCGUAGUUUCUUGCGCUGAUAUUCUUACCCUUGCAGCUGAAGUAUCUUCUGUUCUGGUAUGUCUCAUUUUAGGUCAAAGAAAAAAACUUAGAUCAACUUCUUUUGUUACAUCCUUUUUUAUCAAGUUGUCCAAUCAAAUAACAACAAAUAAAUGUUUAUAUAUUGCAACAUAUAUUUAAUAGAGGUUGUUUAUUAUUAGAAAGAAUAUUCAUGUAUCAUUUGACAGGCUCAUGGUCCUUAUUUGAAAUUUCCCUUGGGAAGGAGGGAUAGUUUAACAGCAAAUAGAACCCUUGCGAAUCAAAACCUUCCUGCUCCUUUCUUCAACCUCACUCAACUUAAAGCUGCCUUUGCUGUUCAAGGCCUUGACACUACCGAUCUUGUUGCACUCUCAGGUAAUAAAUAUUCCCCAAUUCAAAUUAUCCUAUGUGUUGCAACAAUUAAUGCUACCUAUAAUAACAACAACAAUAAAACACCUAUAGUUGAUCCGAGUAGAAUUGGACUCAGAUCCUUUAAAUAAGAUCUCGAGUUUAAAUCUUAUAAAAAAAAUAUGAUUAAAAAGAAAAAUGUCACUAUUCUUAAUAGGGAUUAGAUAUUAAAAAAAAAUGAUGAAUACUUCGUAGUUCGCAUCAAUAUCACACUAAUGAAAAAAAAAUCUUAGAAAUUCAGGGUAAGAUAUAAGAUAUUGGAUUUACUGGUGAACACAUUAACAUUACUCUAAAUUCACCAUCUUAACUUGGUUUGACUUUGGAAGAAUUCAUCUUAUGAAAAUGAUGGACUAGUAUAUGAUUUGUAUAUGAUUCAAUUUCAGGAGCUCAUUCAUUUGGCAGAGUUCGCUGCUUAUUCAUUCUUGACCGAUUGUACAAUUUCAGUGGUACUGGCAGACCCGAUCCAACUCUUGACACAACUUACUUAAAACAAUUGCGCCAAAUAUGCCCCCAAGGUGGGCCCCCUAACAACCUUGUCAAUUUUGACCCAACCACUCCUGAUACAUUGGACAAGAACUACUACUCCAAUCUUCAGGUUAAGAAGGGUUUGCUUCAGAGUGAUCAAGAGUUGUUCUCAACACCUGGUGCUGAUACCAUCAGCAUUGUCAACAAAUUCAGUAGUGACCAAAUAGCUUUCUUUAAGAGCUUUUCGGCUUCCAUGAUUAAAAUGGGAAAUAUUGGUGUGCUAACUGGGAAGAAAGGAGAAAUCAGAAAACAAUGUAACUUUGUUAACAAGAAAUCUGCGGAACUUGAUAUAGGUAGUGUGGCAUCCGAAUCAGAAGAGGGUCUGGUUAGCUCAAUAUGAAUGAAUUAGGAAGAGUUUUAUAUACACUAGGAAAUCAUGUGAUUGAAGGUUACCAAUAAAG